RNAcentral lists this unclassified non-coding RNA (337 nucleotides) under soil metagenome. RNAcentral's name for it is "partial contains 5.8S ribosomal RNA, internal transcribed spacer 2, and large subunit ribosomal RNA". The stretch from base 1 to 120 matches the Rfam family "5.8S ribosomal RNA", at positions 35 to 154 of the family's 154-position model. The record is from RNAcentral.
GAUGAAGAACGCAGCGGAAUGCGAUAAGUAAUGUGAAUUGCAGAAUUCAGUGAAUCAUCGAAUCUUUGAACGCACAUUGCGCCCCUUGGUAUUCCAUGGGGCAUGCCUGUUCGAGCGUCAUUUGUACCUUCAAGCUCUGCUUGGUGUUGGGUGUUUGUCUCGCCUCUGCGUGUAGACUCGCCUCAAAACAAUUGGCAGCCGGCGUAUUGAUUUCGGAGCGCAGUACAUCUCGCGCUUUGCACUCAUAACGACGACGUCCAAAAGUACAUUUUUACACUCUUGACCUCGGAUCAGGUAGGGAUACCCGCUGAACUUAAGCAUAUCAAUAAGCGGAGGA